Molecule: transfer RNA, 73 nt
Filed under: Mus musculus (house mouse)
Lineage: Eukaryota; Metazoa; Chordata; Mammalia; Rodentia; Muridae
Rfam family: tRNA
About the family: Transfer RNA (tRNA) molecules are approximately 80 nucleotides in length. Their secondary structure includes four short double-helical elements and three loops (D, anti-codon, and T loops).
Source: Rfam by way of RNAcentral
GGGGAGAUGGCUCAGUGGUUAAGAGCACUGACUGCUCUGUCAGAGGUCCUGAGUUCAAUUCCCAGUAACCACA